CCAUAGGUGAGCGUAUUUACACCAUGGGAAUUGACAAACCAUUCAUCUGAGUAUCUCUCCUAUCCCCCCCACCAGUCCCCAGGAAUGCAGUUUUUAAACAUUCAGCUGCACACCCAAUCAACCGUAACCCCUAAGCCUUGUUAAUUCAAUUCUUACUGGAUAAGGCAGUUGAGGGUGUGAGGAUCUCAUGGCUGAAACACCAAGAGUCACCCUGAAGCUCUGGAACCCGAGACACAGGCAUUAUCUCUAACUCUCCAGGCUUGAGUAAUUCUGGAACUGCUUCAACCUCCUGAAAUUCUUAGGUUCUGCCAAAAAGUCUCGACCACUAUGGAGUUUCUGAUUCAACUUUCCUCCCUGCAACAGUCUAAGUCACCUUGUGGUAGCAUUGCUCCCUAGCCUGAUUUUCUACUGUCAAGUGUUCAUGAGAUGCCACCUUGGAAGAAGGAACAGGAAGAGAAAUGCCAUCCUUUCCUCUGCUCAUUUGGUUUCCAGAAGAUGUGUGCAGAGAUUCCAAAUCCCACCCAUCCUGAGCCUGGGUCCUCCUAACACAGCAGCCACACAAGUGAAGCAUUGCCGGUGGGUCCACCUCCAUCUGCACGAAGGAAGGUUUGGAUGGAGACUUAAAACUCUGAAUCACCAUCAACUGCAUUCCUGACGGCAUCUGGGCUUAGUCCCUCUGGACUAGCUGGAAAAUUUCAGAAUCUAAUGUAUGUGUAGACCAGAUGGGAUUCAGCUUGAACACUCGUGAAAAUGAUCCAUCUCUGCAUAUUUUAAGUGCUCAGCCCUGAGCAUUGUGUCAGGCUAGAGAGGAGAGGCCUACAGCAAGGCAAAAUUGAAGGAGACGUCAUUUUCAGGGACUGUCCCUGCACUUGAAUGACCCCAAGACUGACCCUUCCUUAAGCUUUGUGAUCUGAGUACUCACUGUGCCACCUUACUCUCUACCUGCUGCUAAAGUCACAGCAAGACUCUGGCUUGAUCAACAGCACCCUCCUCAAUGCCCCUCCACAUAGCUCUGAAUAACUAGUUAAAGCUGUGUUACCAACAUUGGCAGGUUAAAAAAAAGGGGGUAAAAAAGGGAGGGACUUCCUAUCACAUCCGGUGGCCAGUUUGAAAAUGCCAGCCUGGACUUAUUGGCAAACAAGAAGGACAAAUCUUGGAAACCACAGGUGCAGGCCAGAGGUGCCUGGGGAGUGAGAGGAGUCACCAGAGACAGAGUGGGAAGCACAACAGGUGGAUCUACUGAAAGACACUGCUGAGGGGAGCAGUGGGUGAGUCAGGAGAGGUCUGUUGCGCCAUGUGGGUCAGCUCCCUGGCCGGGGAUCGAACUUGUGCUGCAGUGGCUGCACAUCACUUCAUAGUGCUGACACUUCACCCCUUGUGCCACCAGGGAGGCCCUGGCACUUGUGUUUUUAAGCCUGCAGAGAAUUAGUAUUCAGCAGCUGCUCUUAUUCGCAUUGCUGAAUACAUAUCACACAAUAUUAUCAAGACAUUCCUCUCCAUGGAGAGUGGUAUUGACCCCCCAGGUGACUCACAAGUUCCAACGCCAGCUGCCAGAGAAAGGGGUAUCAAGAUACGGCUGUUGAAACUGUAGUGCAUGGUAACAGAGGAAGACAGACCGGAUAUGUUUUCAGACGGGAUCGAGAAAAAGCUUUGACAGAAGGAGACGUGAUUUUCCUUUAUUGGAAGGGGUGCAGGGCUACAGAUCUCAGUGUAAUUUGUUCAGCGUAUGGAGCAACGCACCAAGUAUUCCAACCCCGAACAGCUGGGAAAGCAGAGAGACGUGAAAAAUCGAGGAGGAACCAGGUGAAUUCACGCUUGAAUAAUAGAUUCUCUUGGUAACAAAACCGCAGAGAGAGCUGGGCGGGCCCAGUCUAGAGAUAACAAGGCCCUCUUCUGUGAAUCUCCACCAACUUCCACUUCUUGUUCGUGACCUUGACCUUGACUCCCCUGAGAGCACUCGAACAACUUCCCGUUGUCUGAGCUGGUGGCCUCCAGCGUGGGAUGCGUGUGCACUGAUCUAGGGAGGUGCAAAAAAAAUAUUAGAAUUGUCUUUGCUCCUUUGGCCUCGGCCUCCAUUUCCAUUCAUGGAUAGGAGUUAUAAUGUAUGCCAUCUAUUAAUGCAGCGGUGAGAAGUAUUCAUUUCAACAAGGAAUGCUCAAAAAAAUGUACUAAUGGCUUACAUGAUCAAAACCAUUUGGAAGGGACUGUCUAAGUAAGAAGAUGAAGCCCCUUAGCCUGAUAUUCAAAGUCUUUGCAAGUCACCUAUUUGACCUCCGCUCCCACUAUUUCACGCCUCACACCACUCACUGUGAUAAAAUGGAUCUGCUCAACCAG
Long non-coding RNA from Talpa occidentalis (Iberian mole), 2334 nucleotides. RefSeq lists it as uncharacterized. The record is from RefSeq and is a predicted model, not a curated record. Lineage: Eukaryota; Metazoa; Chordata; Mammalia; Eulipotyphla; Talpidae. The transcript has 3 exons.